AGGGCCGGAAGCCCGGCUCCCGACUCCGCUUCGUCCCCACAACCUCCGGCCGCCUGAAGUCCUGAGGGGCCGUGGCCCUGGGUCGUCUCCCCUGUUCCCAGCCUCCAGUCGCAGCUGGCGGAGAGAAGUUCCCGAGGCCCCCCCGACUUGCAAGGUCCCUUGCCCCGCCCAGAGCUGAGCCUUCCGAGGAUCUGAGGACCGAGUCCAGCCCAGCUCCCAGGAGGGGCCGGGAUCCUGGGGCAGGGAAUAAGGGGCAGGGGCUGGCUCUAAAGUCGGGCGGGAGAGGGGCACUAACCGAGAUGGGGGCUGAGCCUCCGGUCUGGGAGCUUCGGGAGGCGCGUGGCGGGAUGGAAAACAUUCCUGAGACCGUUGGAUUGGAUUUCCGAAUUUGGGAGGCUAGGACUCCGGCUACGGUGGCUCUGCUCUUGGGAUGAGAGGACUGGGCCCAGCUUGCGAGGAAUCAUGAAGUGGACACAGGGUGGGAACGUGAAUUUUAAUGAGGGGGCAGACCGAGGAGGUGGUGGCUGCCCGGAGAUCAGGGCCAGGCUGUGCUAGAUGGCGCCUGGAAGGGGGGUCACCCAAGUCUCCCUGCUGUCAUUUCAGGAGGCCGACCCAAGUCUCCCUGCUGUCAUUUCAGGAGGCCGAAUUUUUUCCCAAUCCCAGAGAAGGUGUCAGAGGCCUGGAGCUUCCCUUUCCAUCUCCAGGGCUACUGAGAAAAUGUUGGACAGAGGAAGGAAGGCAGGGCAGGGCCAGGCUGCAGCUAGCAUCUGGACUGUUGGCUAAUGCUGGUGAUGGCGCAGAAGACCCUUGCCCCCUUUUACAGCUUCUCCCCUAGAAGCCUGGCCCAGAUGCCUGAAUUCCCACCUUUCAUGCACUUAGCCCUGGGGCUUGCAGUUUUGCCAGGUCCUUACUGCCUCCUCCCUCCUGUGGCCUGCCCGGAGGGGCACACAAGCAAAGCCAGUGCCUCUGUGGACAGGCAGCUUAAGACAUUAGGAGACAAAUGAAGGAAGGAGGCAAAACUUCCAAGGCCGGACUAUCUCCUCUGGACCAGAGUUUCGGCCUGCUGGGAAUGGAGUCACCAGCCCCGGGGGGGCUGACAGGUGGCUCCCGCCUACAGAGCUGUAACUCAUCCCUGCUGCUGAACAGGAAAGGGCCUGCCUUACCCAGAUCCCAUCCUCCGGAAAGGGUUAGUCAGGCAAGUGUGCUGAGAGGCCCCUGGGAACCUCGUCUCGAUUAACCCAUCAGAAAGCAGCCCAUCCUUUGCACCCAGCUCUCAGAUGGAAAAGUGAAGCCCAGAAGGAAGGGACCUGACACGGAGGCUUCCUUGGUAGCAUUUCAGUCUCAAGGGAAGAACUGUGGGCCUCCCCUGGAGCACUGGUGAAGUAAGGGGUUGGUUUGGAUAUUGUCUCCUGACUGGGAUAUGGGCAGGACUGACAGGGAGCUGGAGUCCUAACGAAGCCUGGGCUAGGUGCAGGAAGAACCAACCCAGUGGUCUCCUGACAUCUCCCACGCCCCCACCGCAGCUGGGUCACCUCCAGAAUACGGAGGAGAGAGCUGGAGGUGGAGGAACUAAGGACCUUCUUUGCCAGGUGGGGACUUAAAGCAUACAGUGAAGUUGUUCUCUGAAGUUCCUCAUCUGCCUUAAGUCUGGACCCACCAAAGAAGAAAACAAUGACCACUGGUCCCUUCCCGGAGUUUUCUCUGACUGAACUGCUGUCACAGGAAGAAAGACUGAAGCCUGCUCACAUACCUGGACAGAUUUUGCAAACCGUUGUCUGCUCUGUGAGCCCAACAGACUUUGUCCCAGGCCACUGUAUGUUCUUCAAGCCCACUGAAUUCCCCUGAAAAUCAUUUACUAGCCCCCUGAAAUUACCCACACUUCCCCAUUGCUCAUCUGUACCCCAUUUCGUGGUGGGGCAGUCACUCUGAUUUCCCCUUGCAUGCUAAUGAAUGUGUAUUCCAUUUCUAUUCUGCUUUCAUGAGCUGACUUUUCAGUGAACCUUCAGAGGGUAAAGGGGAAGUUUUCCCUUGGCCCCUGCACCGCAAUUGGUAAGGUCCAAAAUGUUAAAUGGAAAAUUCCAGAAAUAGCUGGUCGUGAUGGCUCCUGCCUGUAAUCCCAGCACUUUGGGAGGCCGAGGUAGGUGGAUAGCUUGAAGUCAGGAGUUCGAGACCAGCCUGGCCAACAUGGUGAAACCCUGUCUGUACUAAAAGUACCAAAAUUAGCUGGGCGUGGUGGCGCACGCCUGUAGUCCCUGCUACUUGGGAGGCUGAGGCAGGAGAAUCACUUGAACCUGGGAGGCAGAGGUUGCAGUGAGCAGAGAUCGCACCACCACUCCAGCCUGGAUGACAGAGUAAGACUCCGUCUCAAAAAAAA
This 2374-nucleotide long non-coding RNA is filed under the name Homo sapiens (human). RNAcentral's name for it is "HSALNT0359013". Lineage: Eukaryota; Metazoa; Chordata; Mammalia; Primates; Hominidae. The record is from RNAcentral.